Molecule: ribosomal RNA, 117 nt
Filed under: Pogona vitticeps (central bearded dragon)
Lineage: Eukaryota; Metazoa; Chordata; Lepidosauria; Squamata; Agamidae
Source: RNAcentral
GUUAGGCACCAUAGAGCUUCAAACACACCUUAUCUUGUCUGACUGGGAAGCUAUGCAGGUUCAGGUCUGGUCUGUACUUGGAUGGGAGACCAUCAAGGGAUGUCAGGAUCAUGAAAU